RNAcentral lists this ribosomal RNA (253 nucleotides) under uncultured bacterium. RNAcentral describes it as "partial 16S ribosomal RNA". It matches the Rfam family "Bacterial small subunit ribosomal RNA", at positions 524 to 776 of the family's 1533-position model. The record is from RNAcentral.
UACGUAGGGUGCAAGCGUUGUCCGGAAUUAUUGGGCGUAAAGAGCUUGUAGGCGGUUUGUCGCGUCUGCUGUGAAAUUUCGGGGCUCAACCCCGAACUUGCAGUGGGUACGGGCAGACUAGAGUGUGGUAGGGGAGACUGGAAUUCCUGGUGUAGCGGUGAAAUGCGCAGAUAUCAGGAGGAACACCGAUGGCGAAGGCGGUUCUCUGGGCCUUACCUGACGCUGAGGAGCGAAAGCGUGGGGAGCAAACAGG